UGUCCUGGAUAGAUUCUGCAGUUUAGUUCACCGUACACCCUUUUAUGCAGGUUUUUGCAAAGCUACCGAUUAGCACUGGCAAACUAAACCACAAGCGGGUGUGUGCUCGGGCGGCAGGAGGACGAGAAAAUCUCAGCAGAAGCUACAGCUGGUCUAGGCUCYGGGGGUGCAGCUCUUCCUGACUGGCUUCCUCCUGUGAACAAGAAGAAAGGGUGACCUGCAAUGUCAGCAAGCUACCAAGAAGUCUAGCAACACUCAGGAGAGAGGCAAGAUGUGCAUGAUACUAAGAUAUCUUCCCACAUUCCUUCAGAAAUCAGAACAAGCCUGCCUGUCUAUUAAAGAUCCAGUACACUUUUAGCUACAAUACACUGAUGAAUGCACAUUAAAGCUUCAGAUGAAUCUUCAGGAGAGAUUCAUCCUUUACWAGCACCUUCACAGAAAUGCUGUGGCAAAGCAAAUGUGCAAGCAAACACUUGCAAAAGAUUUUGGCCAUGCUCACAUGAGAAGCAGGAGCUCCCAAAACACUUUUUCAGAUGGGACAGGAUCACAAGACUACUCUGCAAAAGGGAGGCUUCUUUCGGACUCGRCUAUGUCACUUCAUGCUGUUUGGCUGUUCUCAUUAUUGAAGCCACAAAACCAUGAAGUAAUGACAUGGCUCCCACAUGCCUUGCUGCAUUUGGCUUUAAUGCUGAAGACCCAAAAUGCACUGAUUGACUCAAUAUGGGCAGACUUCGGCAAAAGUCACAAUUGURCAGUGAGAUGCUACAAGCAUCUCACAAGCUGACAACCUUCCACCACAUGUGUGAUAAUCAAUCCACAAGCAAGAUGUUAAGAUCACARUCCAUGACAGCCAUGAGCUGCUCUUGCUGGAAGGACAGUUUGAUCUUUUUUUUAAUGUCUGAGGAUGAASAGUCACAAAGCAACUGAAGACAGGCAAAUUUGAUGCACUGCCACAGGAUUGAGGKUGGCCUCAAAGAAGCCAGAAGGUGUGUUUAAAGGUACCAUGGUUAACUGAGGGGACAUGAAAGCAAGAUGUUUUGUGUCAUUUUGCUUGAACAGAAAAGGUUUGAUCAUACAAAAUGCUGACCCUGCCCAAGCCUUUUUGUCUUAUGUCACUGGAGAUUGGAAAAACAAAGAUGAUACCAGGCCCUUKCACCCAGCAGGGCUGGGCACCCGAUCUGAAGCUGGUUCAAAUGCAUGGUGGAGGUUUCCAACCUUGCUAACAUCAUCCAGUGGUUCGCCCAGCAGAUCCUUCCUCUUCAGCUCUUUUCUUUCUGGCACAUCAAGCUUGUUCACCACUGCAUCARUCUUGGAGCCAAUGCUGUUUGUGGACUGUUCCAGCUGCAGCACACGAUGAAGGAGGCUGAGGGAGACAYGAAGAGCAUUUGAAAGCUUUUCUUUGUGAUGAAUAGUAGGAUUUGCAGCAGACAUCUCCCAGAGACCUCAAAUAGAGGUCAUGCUUCAUCUGCUGUUGCUCCUCUUCAUCAAGGAURAGGUUGCCAUCUUUGUCAAAUCUGGAGAAAGCUGCUGUGAUCUCAUGGUCUGCAUGGCCCAGUCUGCAAAAGAUUAAAAAGAGAAAGCUCAAAAAAUUGCACUGUUAAGUUCUAACAGAGUGAGAAUUUUGAAAUCAGUAUAUUAUUUCCUCCUGCUAGUGACAAAUGUAAACACCCCAAAUGGGCAGGAGACAGUAACGCAAACSUAUUUAGAACAGGAGAUUAAACAUUUGAGGAAAGAUUUUUUAGUCUUAAGUUGCCCAGGUCUGAGCUAACUGCUCUCCUUGUCUUGAAAAGCAGAAAAUUUAAAUUACCCAUGUUGCUAAGAGAAAGGACAGUGGGCAUCCCUCAAACUGACUCACUCACUCCUUCAAGCUGUUCUUGAAGUCCUCAAAGUCUAGUUGUUUUGUUCCAUUCUGCAGGGCUUUCUGAACAUCAGAAAUUUGCUCCUUCUUCAGCUUCAGCCUCAUGAGUGUCCGGUUAUAACUCUGUUACCAAAGAUACAGACACAGAACCGUGCACAUAGAAGGGUGAAAAGCAGAGCAGAGAGGGCAAUGCAACACAGGUAAGAUGAACAAGGCAUAGGAGAAGAAAUCUUAGGACUCUCUACUUUCUUAGGGAUUUGCAAACUUAUCUGCUGCCCUUUCCAGAGUUUAAACCCUCAGAAUGACCAACUAGAAGAGUUAAGCAGUGAGAGAGGACCAUUGGAUGAUACAAUUUAACAUCUUCGGUAAAAGCUUUAGUUCUCGGACAAAAUUUCUGAAGGAAAUUGUAUUUCUCAGAAUAAAGCUGAGGAUACAUAUUUUGAAUUUCUGCUGUGAAGAUAUGAAGRCACAGAGACCACCCUAUUUUCCCAAGUGAAAAGCUCCAGGUAAGUUUUCAUCUACCAAGAAACCCCAAGAGAAACAGGCUCUAACAUCCACAAACAUGUUGUUUCACCUCUUCAGUACUCCUUCCUUCAGAAGGAUAUCCAACAUGGUGAUCACAAAGAGCAUGUCCUACUCUUGAAAGGACACCAGGAAAAUAAAGCACCUGAUAUUGAAGACAAAUCCCCCCAACAGCUCCUGGCUUCUAUUUUCCAUGUGCUACACCAAGGUGAUUAAAUGGAAAGGAAAGGGGGAGCGCCAACAAUGGAGAAGCAGUGAAAAAUGAUGAGCARCAAGUAAAGAUGCAAAGGAAGGAGGCAGAUUCUUCAAAGAAAAUGUCCCCACUUCUGUGAGGCUCAGAGGCCUUUGGAUUCCCAGCUUUGGUGUUUCCUCCAGCCUUAUUUACCACCCUUCACUACUUCAACAGUUAGAAGAAGAGAAUGCUGYAGUGUCCUGACRGUUAUCUUAUUUGCAUGCUCCAAGYUCAACUCUGGCAGCUCACAAAUGGAAAUUUGGUGUUAAAGAAUGGAUAUGUUUUUUUUUUCUAUUUUAAGCCUACAAAAUUGCCUAGAAGAAAGCACUUCAGAAUAAACCUUACACUGCCUAUGAGUAAUCUGUAAUUACCUACCAARCCCACUCAGCACUGCUCCUUGCGCCCAGGAGAGAUCUCUAAAGCCUCUGCUCUGAAUUCUAUGUGAAUUAGUAAUGUUAGACUGCAGUGACAAUGACAAAAGUAUUGAUCAUAUAGAGGCUGUGCCAUUCAGGACCAAGCUAUACUGUUAC
This is a long non-coding RNA of Malurus melanocephalus (red-backed fairy wren), 3142 nucleotides long. RefSeq lists it as uncharacterized. The transcript is spliced from 5 exons. Lineage: Eukaryota; Metazoa; Chordata; Aves; Passeriformes; Maluridae. The record is from RefSeq and is a predicted model, not a curated record.